Molecule: transfer RNA, 74 nt
Filed under: Chaetoceros didymus
Lineage: Eukaryota; Bacillariophyta; Thalassiosirophyceae; Chaetocerotales; Chaetocerotaceae
Also listed under: 19 other names
Description: tRNA-Pro
Rfam family: tRNA
About the family: Transfer RNA (tRNA) molecules are approximately 80 nucleotides in length. Their secondary structure includes four short double-helical elements and three loops (D, anti-codon, and T loops). Further hydrogen bonds mediate the characteristic L-shaped molecular structure. tRNAs have two regions of fundamental functional importance: the anti-codon, which is responsible for specific mRNA codon recognition, and the 3' end, to which the tRNAs corresponding amino acid is attached (by aminoacyl-tRNA synthetases). tRNAs cope with the degeneracy of the genetic code in two manners: having more than one tRNA (with a specific anti-codon) for a particular amino acid; and 'wobble' base-pairing, i.e. permitting non-standard base-pairing at the 3rd anti-codon position.
Source: RNAcentral
CGGGAUAUAGCUCAGUUUGGUAGAGUACCUGGUUUGGGACCAGGGUGUCGUAGGUUCAAAUCCUACUAUCCCGA